AUAUAGGGAGAGUGUGAACUAAUAGUAGGAAUUGAAUUAAGGUCCUACAAGCUAGUUCAGAUUUUGUUUUAUCUUAUUUUGAGACCUAGUUUUCAAUUUGGUGUAUCUGAAUCUAAAUCAGUGAUUGCAUCCUAAAAGAAUAUGAUGCAAAUGGUGUAGUACUAUUGAGCUGUCUGAAAAAUUUCUGAAUAUAAUAUUCUAAUAUAUAAAUAAAUGUAUAUGAUAGAGCUUAUCAUUGAUUACUUCAGAGAUAGUCCAUGUUGAAUCAGCAGAAUCAAAAUCAUCAUCUGAGACAUCUUCCAGAUCCAAACAAUUGCUGUCUUGAAUAGCUCCAAAAAUCUCUUGUCAUAGCAUUUACCCAUCAGAUAUUCGACUAGGACUUACAUAUCAAUAAAAAAUUAGCAGUAGUGGAAAAGAUACCUUACAGCCAUGUUAUACUCAAAUGAGAAUGUAGGGUCCCAAAGGGUUUUAAUACUAUUCGAGUUCAAUUUAUAUUGUCUUUAGUAUUGGAACAAUUAAGACAUAUCUUCUAGGAAUGACCAUGAUUGUUUUUAAUUGAAUUUAUUAUGUACAUGAUGAAUAAAAAAUUAAGUAUGAACAAAUUGAACAUAAUUUGAAAUAACUGAUAUUUUAUAUAAUAAUCCAGAAUAUUCAUGUAUAGCUCCAAAAUAGAUAUUUAUUACAUUUUGUUUUAAUGAUAUAUAAUAUGGCUAUUCAUUGAUUUCUUUAGCUUUACUACCAUGCCUAUAACAUGUUCUAAACAAAAACAUAAUUACAAUAAAAUGAAGAAAUUACCAUUGACAGACACUUAUCUAGAAACUAAUGAGAGAAAUAGAAUUACUCAAAAUGAAUUUUUUGUGAAAUAUCUGAAUAAAUACAAUAAUCUUUUGCCAACUAGAGCUUUUAUAAAACACUUUAGGGCUUUACUGUAUAUCAAAAUUUUUAUUAAUAGUCUCAUUUAAUCAAAAUUCUGCAUUAUCUGAGAU
RNAcentral lists this long non-coding RNA (986 nucleotides) under Androctonus crassicauda. Lineage: Eukaryota; Metazoa; Arthropoda; Arachnida; Scorpiones; Buthidae. The record is from RNAcentral.